UCCAGCCCAAGCCAUUCUACGAUUUGCAGAUGUAGAGUUGUCCCUGUUCUGCUCAGUUAAUUGCAUUGUCUGGAGCAGAAAGAAUUAUCUAUGCUACUAAAGGAGUGGACAUGUGAGGACACUUUCUUUCCUUAGCUUCUUUAAUUUUGUGGAAAAUAAUUUGCACUUGGUGUGAGAUGACAGAUUGGAGUUUUCCCAAAUACGUUCUGGACAGCUAGAGCACAGUGAAGAUUUAAAUCGUGACAUUCAUCAUGAACUUGACGUGCCUAUUUAGAAACAUUUACUGUUUUAUGUGAAAACAUUAUAUACAUGUUAAUAACAAAACUUUGUUGUUGUUGUUCUUAAAUACAGAACAUUCUGGCUUUAUCAGCAGUAUCCUGGACUACAUAUUUUUCAAAGAAAUACCCAGCUUUAUUUCAUACUACCUGUUCUUGGGCAGCUUGAAAUUGGAUUUGUUGGAUGGAAGACAUUAUCUAGUUAUAGGAUCUCAUCCUGAUUAUAUCUUGUUAGAAACUAUCACCACAUUAAUCAAUUGUUAGUAGAAACAGUAGAGUUUUGUGCACAUGUGCAAUGCCAUCAUUAGAAAAUCCUGAGGAGAGAGGAAACUAUUUGCAGUGCAAACACCCUUCUGGUUGGAAUACAAACAAACUCUUAAGAGAAGAAUAACAGCAGAAUUGCUUGUUAACUGCCAUGAGAAGCAACCUUACAUCUGGAACUCUGCCUAUUGCUCUAAUUCAGAAAAAAAGAAAGCAAUACAACUUUAAUGGAAACAAGGAACGUUCCAGUGCUCCAAUCUGGAGAAGAGCUCCCCUGGACAGAUGGAGUUGCUUGUCUACUCUAUUCCUGUCGGACUAUAAGGCUUUGCCCUCCAAAAGCUGCAAGAACAGUCUAACAAGACACAACGUUUAGUGUGGGGAUUGCAAAGCUUUAUUUUUCUAAUUGUUUUAUGUUCAUUUCCUGGUAAUAUAGGAAUACUUUAAUGACUGUGAGACCCAUGAGAGAGUCUUUAAGCUACUCUUGUGUUUUCUGGGUACUUCACAAGUUCCCAGCAGAAUUUAAACUGGGUCUGGUAAAGUAGACAUUGAAUGUUCUCUCCCUUUUUCUUACCUUUUAGGAAGUAACAUCAAACUGCCUUUUAAAAAAUGAUUCUACAUUUAUGAUUCAGUGCAGAACCGCAGCCCUAGGGCCAGCCAAGAAAAGCUCCUGUAAAUCAUUCAAAGCAGGGAGACAAUAACACCAAUAUUUAAGGUCUGUGUUUAAAUUAGUUAUGUUUGUAAAACAAAAGCAGUUGUGUCUGAUAGAGUACUAACAUUCCAACAUAUUUUUGACCUCUCAUUUCUCACUGUAGUCUUUGCUCAAUUUUCAUCACUGUUCACUGAACAGCUUUGUUUUUACUUACAUAUUUGAUUUUUUUAGAGUAUUUAUAAUUAAAGUAAAUCCAGCAUGCCAUAGUAGUAGACUACAGUCUUGCCAUUGUGGAACAGUACUCUACAAUGCUGAAUUUCGACUUCAUAAGAAACUAUUAAAUUACACUUAAGGAUGUGGUUUAUGCUAUAUCUAGUCCAAUUUAGCCGUGAGUGAUACUAAAAGACGUGGUCCUAUCUCCAAUUCCUCUUGCCUGUAUAUUCCCUCCAUUUAGCAAUCAAUCACAUGUAAAAACAUCAGAAAACUGAUUUAAUGACCUCCCUACCCACCAAAUACUAGUUUUCCAUGAGGUUACUAAACUGACUCAGUCCAUGCCACUGAAUCUAAUGCACUUCAGCUGUUCUGGAGAACUUUAGUUUAUCUAUCACAUUAUUUCAUUAAUUUAUAAUAUUUUGUUACUUUUGUUUAUAUAUACUGUGCAAUCAUGCUCUAAACUAGUAGAUUGUUAGUAGGUUUCUGACCCCCCCCCCCCCCUUUGUGUAUAUUUUAGACUGCUUUUUUUAAAAGGUAGAAGGCAAUUAUAACAUUUCAGCUAAGUCUUUGUUAUUGACACUGUUAACCUUUCUUGAAACCUUGGAAGUAGUAUGCUGCAUUUUUGUCAAGUAUUACUGCUGGCAUUAGAACCAUUUCCUGAUUUAUUAUUAUGUGUCAGUUUAAUUAACAUGCUGUUUUACUCCCUCUUCCAGAUUGUUAAUGAAGAUGUUAAAUAAACAGGACCAAACACUGAUCCCUGCA
Molecule: long non-coding RNA, 2160 nt
Filed under: Anser brachyrhynchus (Pink-footed goose)
Lineage: Eukaryota; Metazoa; Chordata; Aves; Anseriformes; Anatidae
Description: lncRNA (ENSABRG00000011671.1)
Source: RNAcentral